GGCUGGUCAGAGUACAGUGGUGUUUACAGCCAUAAUUGAUCACAACCAGAUACAGAUUCCUUUGUUCUUUCUCCACUCCCACUAUGCCACUUGACUAGCUUAAA
Molecule: unclassified non-coding RNA, 104 nt
Organism: Otolemur garnettii (small-eared galago)
Lineage: Eukaryota; Metazoa; Chordata; Mammalia; Primates; Galagidae
Rfam family: Y RNA
About the family: Y RNAs are components of the Ro ribonucleoprotein particle (Ro RNP), in association with Ro60 and La proteins. The Y RNAs and Ro60 and La proteins are well conserved, but the function of the Ro RNP is not known. In humans the RNA component can be one of four small RNAs -- hY1, hY3, hY4 and hY5.
Source: Ensembl